AUUGGACGCUGGCGGCAGGCCUAACACAUGCAAGUCGAACGGUAACAGGGAUCAGCUUGCUGAUUCGCUGACGAGUGGCGGACGGGUGAGUAAUGUCUGGGAAACUGCCUGAUGGAGGGGGAUAACUACUGGAAACGGUAGCUAAUACCGCAUAACGUCGCAAGACCAAAGAGGGGGACCUUCGGGCCUCUUGCCAUCGGAUGUGCCCAGAUGGGAUUAGCUAGUAGGUGGGGUAACGGCUCACCUAGGCGACGAUCCCUAGCUGGUCUGAGAGGAUGACCAGCCACACUGGAACUGAGACACGGUCCAGACUCCUACGGGAGGCAGCAGUGGGGAAUAUUGCACAAUGGGCGCAAGCCUGAUGCAGCCAUGCCGCGUGUAUGAAGAAGGCCUUCGGGUUGUAAAGUACUUUCAGCGGGGAGGAAGGGAGUAAAGUUAAUACCUUUGCUCAUUGACGUUACCCGCAGAAGAAGCACCGGCUAACUCCGUG
RNAcentral lists this ribosomal RNA (490 nucleotides) under uncultured bacterium. Its description in RNAcentral is "partial 16S ribosomal RNA". It matches the Rfam family "Bacterial small subunit ribosomal RNA", at positions 30 to 507 of the family's 1533-position model. The record is from RNAcentral.